This 95-nucleotide non-coding RNA is filed under the name Massilioclostridium coli. Its description in RNAcentral is "Glycine riboswitch". It matches the Rfam family "Glycine riboswitch aptamer", at positions 9 to 86 of the family's 94-position model. Rfam says of the family: This family represents the bacterial glycine riboswitch. Glycine riboswitches usually consist of two metabolite-binding aptamers domains with similar structures in tandem. Lineage: Bacteria; Bacillati; Bacillota; Clostridia; Eubacteriales; Clostridiaceae. The record is from RNAcentral.
AGUUCUCUGGAGAGUCUCGGUUUACUGAGCGCUGAAGGUGUACGGCAUUCUAAAAGAAAAAGGAUGUUAAUCUCUCAAGCAAAAGGACAGAGCGC